UUCAUAGCUCAGCUGGCAGAGCGCCCGGCUGUUAACCGGCAGGUCGCAGGUUCGAAUCCUGCUGUUCC
Molecule: transfer RNA, 68 nt
Filed under: bovine gut metagenome
Rfam family: tRNA
About the family: Transfer RNA (tRNA) molecules are approximately 80 nucleotides in length. Their secondary structure includes four short double-helical elements and three loops (D, anti-codon, and T loops).
Source: RNAcentral